RNAcentral lists this ribosomal RNA (484 nucleotides) under uncultured bacterium. RNAcentral's name for it is "partial 16S ribosomal RNA". It matches the Rfam family "Bacterial small subunit ribosomal RNA", at positions 29 to 507 of the family's 1533-position model. The record is from RNAcentral.
AUUGAACGCUGGCGGCAUGCUUUACACAUGCAAGUCGAACGGCAGCGCGGGCUUCGGCCUGGCGGCGAGUGGCGAACGGGUGAGUAAUACAUCGGAACGUGCCCAGUUGUGGGUGAUAGCUCGGCGAAAGCCGGAUUAAUACCGCAUACGACCUGAGGGUGAAAGGGGGGGAUCUUCGGACCUCGCGCUAUUGGGGCGGCCGAUGGCGGAUUAGCUAGUUGGUGGGGUAAAGGCCUACCAAGGCGACGAUCUGUAGCUGGUCUGAGAGGAUGAGCAGCCACACUGGGACUGAGACACGGCCCAGACUCCUACGGGAGGCAGCAGUGGGGAAUUUUGGACAAUGGGCGAAAGCCUGAUCCAGCCAUGCCGCGUGUGUGAUGAAGGCCUUCGGGUUGUAAAGCACUUUUGGCGGGAAAGAAAAGGAGUGUGCUAAUACCACGGUUCGAUGACGGUACCCGCAGAAUAAGCACCGGCUAACUACGUG